Molecule: long non-coding RNA, 898 nt
Organism: Gallus gallus (chicken)
Lineage: Eukaryota; Metazoa; Chordata; Aves; Galliformes; Phasianidae
Exons: 3
Source: RefSeq, a predicted model, not a curated record
UCAUAUGCAGUAUGUGUACAUAAUGACAUGUAGGAUGCAGCAACUUUCAAAUAAAUUUAUAUAUAUAUAUUUUUUUUUCCCAGAGGCCUUUGCUGAAUCCACAUGAGCCAAUAUUUGUGCUUGCACUUAGCUCCCGUUGGAACCCACCUGCCUGCAUCUGCCAUCAUGAGAAGCACUCAGCGUUACUAAAAUCCAGAUUUGUCAGAAUGAGACUUCUGUCUGUUGUCAUUUAGCAAUACCCCACUCUGCUGAUAUGUUCAGCUUGUGGCACUGGUGGUAUGCUUAAGAAAUAAAAGGCAGAGGUCAAAUAUGCGUUGCAAUAUUCUGCAAUGUCCAUGCUCUGUGACUGAAACAUUGUAAACCAGCCAGAAGUGUAACUAUUCAAAAGACUGAUGAUAAAUUCAGAGGCAGAGGUCUGUGAGCUAAGGCUGUGAAUGCUGUCAUCUGGAAAGUGACAGAAAAAUGGCAGGAGGGUUGACAUCAUGUGCUGAAAGAAGAGUGACAGCAAGGCUGACAGAGAAGCUUAACUGGACCAUCAAGUGUGAAGAAAGGGCAACUGGAUGUAUUUCAGUGAGAAGAUGGCUGAACAAGCCCAGUUCCUUCAGCCUAUAACUAUCUAAUGGAAGGAACUAUUUUGCCCAGACAGAUUCAAAAAUCAAGAGCUGCAGAUUUAGAUCAUGGCAGAAUUUUCCUUAGAGAUUCUUGUCAGUGCUUCCCUCAUUCAACCAGGAAGAAGCUGGGUUGCCAAAUGAAUUGAAGGUGAGCCUGUUUCUGAAAGCAUCUUCAGGUUUUGUUACAUAAAUGUAACAGAUGAAGUUCUGAAUCUUUUGAAGUCUAUAGGGAAAACUACCUUUGACUUUGAUGAGGUCUGAAUUUCAUCUUUUUCCCAUCACGUCCU